AUCCCAGAUAAGGUUGUUUGUUGUGCUUAUCUGAUUCAUGGGAGGGAAAAAUUAUAAUGGGAAUUCGCUGAUAGCACCUUUUGGUUUUAGAAGGUGUUUUACUAGUACUUCACCAUACAUGA
Populus trichocarpa (black cottonwood) is the source of this 122-nucleotide non-coding RNA. Lineage: Eukaryota; Viridiplantae; Streptophyta; Magnoliopsida; Malpighiales; Salicaceae. The record is from Rfam.